Molecule: long non-coding RNA, 574 nt
Filed under: Homo sapiens (human)
Lineage: Eukaryota; Metazoa; Chordata; Mammalia; Primates; Hominidae
Description: non-protein coding lnc-SLC19A3-3:2
Source: RNAcentral
ACUUCUCAGCUAGCACAGUGACCACCUCUUCCAUGCUGUUUGAAGUUCUGGCUGUCUUGUGGGGUCCAUUGUUACCACAGUAGAAUCCAACCAAGGUGGGCAUUGCCCCCAACUCCUGGUGUGACUAGCAACCCCAUAUAAAUGGUUUUUCCCAUUUCUUCACUUUGAAACCUCAGUCAAUAGCUCAAGAUCCUUACUAUAUAGAAGGAAGAAGAAAGGGAACUUCCUUUUUUAAACAACAUUUACAUAACACUAACAUGGCUUUUAUUCCAGACCUUUUUGUUAGUGAUUUUCAAAUAUUAACUCAUAACAUUAAAAAAUCCCAGGCUAGGGACUUUUGAAUCCAUUAUUUACUCCUGUGUCUCUCAGAAUAUUUGGAAACUACUCAUACCAGAAUCACAUGAAUCUUGUGAACAGUGAAGCUGUCUACACCUUCUAAAUCAAUCCAUACAACAACUGGGAGAGCAAAUGGAUCAUUUGAAGUGAUACAAAGUAAAGAACAACAAGCAGAAAAUGAAUCAUGUGGAUUGAGACUGCACCUGUCAGCACAUAGAGAGGAAUGAAAAGUUGAAGC